This 305-nucleotide ribosomal RNA is filed under the name uncultured bacterium. RNAcentral's name for it is "bacterial SSU rRNA". It matches the Rfam family "Bacterial small subunit ribosomal RNA", at positions 335 to 656 of the family's 1533-position model. The record is from RNAcentral.
UGCCUACGGGGCGCAGCAGUGGGGAAUAUUGGGCAAUGGGCGCAAGCCUGACCCAGCAACGCCGCGUGAAGGAAGAAGGCUUUCGGAUUGUAAACUUCUUUUGACAGGGAAGAGCAGAAGACGGUACCUGUCGAAUAAGCCACGGCUAACUACGUGCCAGCAGCCGCGGUAAUACGUAGGUGGCAAGCGUUGUCCGGAUUUACUGGGUGUAAAGGGCGUGUAGCCGGGCUGACAAGUCAGAUGUGAAAUCCGGGGGCUCAACCCAUAACCUGCAUUUGAAACUGUAGUUCUUGAGUGAUGGAGAG